This 127-nucleotide small RNA is filed under the name Marmota monax (woodchuck). The record is from RNAcentral. Lineage: Eukaryota; Metazoa; Chordata; Mammalia; Rodentia; Sciuridae.
GCUGGGCGUGGUGGUACACACCUGUAGUCCCAGCAGCUCUGGAGGCUGAGGCAGGAGGAUCACAAGUUCAAAGCUAGCCUCAGCAAUUUAGUGAUGCCCUGAGUAACUUAGGGAGAACCUGUCUCUA